CAAACAAACAAAACUACCAUGAAAAAAGCUUUCCAUGCCAUUCAGUGUUUAUGAUUAUUAUUUGGUGCUGGGGUUAAACCUGCGGCCUCACACAUGCAGAGCAUAAGUUCUACCGUGGAGCCACACCCUAGCCAUCACAUUUAUCAUUAACAAACCAGCUAACAUUCUCUCCACACCAGACUGAAGCUGUAGGCUCAGCACACAAAAACACAGGACACCUAGUCAAAUUUGAAUUUCAGAUAAGUAAUGAAUAAUUUUCGGCCAAGUGUGCCCAUGCAUAAGUAGGUCCUUGUGUGAGUCCCAUGUCAGAGCGGGUCACAUGAUCUGACCCACAUGGCACUCAGGAGCAUUGUGAUGCUCACUGUGGCACUUUGCAGAUGCCAGAAGGGGCAGCGUUGCCCAUGGGUCACAGCUGAGAAGUUACCAGACCAAGGCCAACUUCGCCAGCAAACCUGUGGCCACCCCCAGGCCCACAGGGGCCACCAGGUCAGGCUCUGGGAGCCGAGGCCAGCAGCUCCAACUGAGUGGUUCAGAAACAUAAAGUGGACAGAAGGAAGGACCAGGUGCAUGCCACAAACACCACCUCCUCUCGUGCAGAAUGAAUGCUAAGUGCCAGGCCUUCUCUCUCCUACCAAACUGCGGGCAACUGUACAAGACCUGGGAACAGAGGUACCUGCCUGAGCCCCUGUCUGCAUGAGCAGCCGGUGCCGUGGUGCCUUGCUCUGGAUGGUCCCCCAAGUCGGAAAUGGGGACAGGUCCCCCAAGAGUCUGUCCUUUCCCGAAUUCCUUUCCUCUGUAUCCAACUGAGCUUGACUUCGGCUGUGCAACGGUGCAAAGGAGCUGGUUCAGGGCCUGGAUGGACUGGUCCUGGGUACCUGGCAUUUGUGCAGCCAUUGCGGCCUGACGGGGCUCUGAAGCUGGGAGGCACUCAGCCAUGACUCUGGAAAAUUCUGAAAGCCAAGAGUCAUCACCAGGGACAGCUUCCUGGACGCGCCCUUCAGGCUGGUUCCAGGACAGCACUGCCGCCAUGCCCCUCACCCCUGGGCUUCAUUAAAAG
RNAcentral lists this long non-coding RNA (1057 nucleotides) under Chinchilla lanigera (long-tailed chinchilla). RNAcentral describes it as "lncRNA (ENSCLAG00000027738.1)". Lineage: Eukaryota; Metazoa; Chordata; Mammalia; Rodentia; Chinchillidae. The record is from RNAcentral.